RNAcentral lists this ribosomal RNA (250 nucleotides) under Thraustochytriidae sp. RNAcentral describes it as "Thraustochytriaceae sp. partial small subunit ribosomal RNA". It matches the Rfam family "Eukaryotic small subunit ribosomal RNA", at positions 1377 to 1610 of the family's 1831-position model. The record is from RNAcentral. Lineage: Eukaryota; Bigyra; Thraustochytrida; Thraustochytriidae.
GGGGGUUUGUAUUGCGAGAUAUACCUGCCGCUUCUUAGAGGGACAUUUCGGGUAUACCGGAAGGAAGUUUGAGGCAAUAACAGGUCUGUGAUGCCCCUAGAUGUUCUGGGCCGCACGCGCGCUACACUGACGACUUCAACAAGUUUUUUGGCAUUGCCAAAUUUCCUUGGCCGGAAGGUCUGGGUAAUCUUUUAAAAGGUCGUCGUGAUGGGGCUAGAUUCUUGCAAUUAUUAAUCUCCAACGAGGAACC